UCAAGCGAACAAGUGCACAGGGUGGAUGCCUAGGCAUGAGCCGGCGAGGAAGGACGUGGCAAGCUGCGAGAAGCCUCGGGGAGCUGCAAGCGAGCAUUGAUCCGGGGAUGUCCGAAUGGGGAAACCCGGCGCGGGUGAUACCGCGUCAUCCCGAGAGGGAGGCCAACCCAGGGAACUGAAACAUCUCAGUACCUGGAGGAAGAGAAAUCAAACGAGAUUCCCCUAGUAGCGGCGAGCGAACGGGGAGGAGCCCAAACCCGUGGGGGUCAAACCCGAUGGGGGUUGAGGGGCCCUGGGGAACCCGACCGAAAGCGUAGCGGAAGGCGCCUGGAAAGGCGUACCGGAGAGGGUGAGAGUCCCGUAUGCGAAACGCGAGUAGGGAGGCGCCAGGGUACCCGAGUAGGCCGGAGCACGAGGAAUUCCGGUUGAAUCAGGGGGGACCAUCCUCCAAGGCUAAAUACGAGCUCAUGACCGAUAGUGGAGAGUACCGUGAGGGAAAGGUGAAAAGAACGCCUGACGGCGAGUGAAAGAGAACCUGAAACCUUGUGCAUACAAGCGGUAGGAGCCUGGUGCCCCUUACGGGGGGCACGUGGGUGACUGCGUGCCUUUUGCAUUAUGAUCCGGCGAGUUACUCCUCACGUGCGAGGUUAAGGCCUUCAGGGCCGGAGCCGAAGCGAAAGCGAGUCUGAACAGGGCGCGAAGUACGUGGGGGUAGACCCGAAACUGAAGCGAUCUAUCCAUGGCCAGGGUGAAGCCGGGGUAACACCUGGUGGAGGCCCGAACCGGUGUGGGCUGAAAACUGCUCGGAUGAGCUGUGGAUAGGGGUGAAAGGCCAAUCAAGCUCAGAGAUAGCUGGUUCUCCCCGAAAUAUAUUUUGGUAUAGCCUCAGGACAUGUCUCCGGGAGGUAGAGCACUGAAUGGGUUAGGGGCCUUACCCGGUUACCGACCCCAAUCAAACUCCGAAUGCCCGAUGAGAUGGACCCUGGGAGUCAGUGGGCGAGCGAUAAUGUUCGUCCGCAAGAGGGAAAGAGCCCAGACCGUCAGCUAAGGCCCCGAAGUGCAUGCUAAGUGAGAAAGGAUGUGGAUUUGCAGAGACAACUAGGAGGUUGGCUUAGAAGCAGCCAUGCCUUGAAAGAGUGCGUAAUAGCUCACUAGUCAAGUGGAUCUGCGCCGAUAAUGGUCGGGACUGUAAGCAUGCCGCCGAAGCUACGGAUGCGAACCUCUUCGGAGGUAAGCAUGGUAGGGGAGCGUUCCCUGGGCGUCGAAGCCCCCUCGCAAGAGCAGGGGUGGAGCGCAGGGAAGUGAGGAUGCCGGAAUGAGUACGCGAUAAACAGAGUGAGAAUCUCUGUCACCGAAAGCCUAAGGGUUCCGGAGCCAGGCUUAUCCGCUCCGGGUUAGUCGGCCCCUAAGCCGAGGCCGAGAGGCGUAGGCGAUGGGAAACAGGUCAACAUUCCUGUACCGCAGUAUUUGCGUUUGACCCUGAGGAGGGACGCGGAAGUGAAAGAACCGUCGGGAGGGUGGAGUAUCCGAUGCAAGGUGGUAGGCGUUUCCAGGUAGGCAAAUCCGCCUGGAUAGCCGAGCGCCGAUGCCGAAGGGGUUUUCGGACCCCGCAAAGGGUUCCUAAUCAAGCCGCCGAGAAAAGCUUCGCAGGGGAGUGGAUACUGGGACCGUACCGCAAACGGACACACGUAGGCGAGGCGAGAAGCCUAAGGUGCUCGAGUGAGUUGUGGAGAAGGAACUCGGCAAAAUGUCCCCGUAACUUCGGGAGAAGGGGAGCCCGCCCUAGGUGAACCUGGUUGCCAGGGGAGCCGAAGCGGGCCGCAGAGAAUCGGCCCAGGCGACUGUUUAGCAAAAACACAGGUGUCUGCAAAGUCGCUGAGACGACGUAUAGGCACUGACGCCUGCCCGGUGCCGGAAGGUUAAAAGGAGAGGUUAGGGGGCCUUCGGGCUCUCGAAGCUUUGAAUUGAAGCCCCGGUAAACGGCGGCCGUAACUAUAACGGUCCUAAGGUAGCGAAAUUCCUUGUCGGGUAAGUUCCGACCUGCACGAAUGGCGUAACGAUCUGGGCGCUGUCUCCUCCACAAGCUCGGCGAAAUUGGAGUAUCGGUGAGGAUACCGAUUACCCGCGACAGGACAAAAAGACCCCGUGCACCUUUACUAUAACCUGCCAUUGGGUUUCGGCACUGCAUGUGUAGCAUAGGUGGGAGACUACGAGCCAGGGCCGCUAGGUUCUGGGGAGUCAACGGUGAAAUACCACCCUUGUGAUGUUGAAGCUCUAACCCGGGCGAGUGAAUCCUCGUCGGGGACCGUG
This 2310-nucleotide ribosomal RNA is filed under the name groundwater metagenome. RNAcentral's name for it is "bacterial LSU rRNA". It matches the Rfam family "Bacterial large subunit ribosomal RNA", at positions 3 to 2256 of the family's 2925-position model. The record is from RNAcentral.